UCACAUUUUACAGCAUUUGAUUGGUAGGUUGUAUUUUCAUGGGGCGCUGGCAUUGUGCCAGCGUCAAACCAUGACAAUAGCCUUGUCAUAAAAAGAAAUCAGAUUGGUCAAUUUGCUAGAGACGGGGAAAAAAACUGAAGUUUGGGAAUUUGUAGAAAAUCUCUAUGAAAUUUUAAUACUAUUUGAACCUUAGUAAAAAUGGUGUUAGCUGCACCAGACUUCCUUAUAUCUCUUUCAUUAUCUUUCCAUAUCUUUCAUUCAGAGCAACCUUUUCUUCUGCAUUUUCCUUUUUAACUACUAGGCAUGUGGGAAGACAAUAUUUCUGCUUUAGCUUUGCAGGUAUUCCCCCAGCCACAGGGCUGCUUGGGCAGAGGGAUGUCCAGGGACUUCAGAGUGGUGUGUGGGAGCUGCUGGGAAGCACAGCUCAGAGUGGGCCAUGCAGCUUAUGCUGAUUUCUGUGGUCCUGCUGGUCCCUGCAGCAGCUCAGGCAAAGAUAACCUCGUGUGUUUUUGCCAGUAUAUGGUCGCUAUCCUGGCUUUGAUGAAGGCUUUUUCUGAAGAUUUGAUGAAACUUUUCUCUAUGGAGACAAAGAGAUUCACGUGCAUUAGCAGAGUGGUUUGGGUCUGCUUUCCUGCUUGAUGUGAAAACUGCAGUUCAAUCCAUUCAGCUGUAAUGCAUGUGAAUCUGAGAUACUACCCAUAUAUCUGUGAACUAAGACAAGGCUUUCACCUGAUAACUGGGCUACACUUGUUGCUUGGAGGACAGAACAAUGAAUAAGGCAUCUGGUAGUUUGAGUCCAUGUUUUGUUAAGAGGUAUGAAAAUGAGAAAAAUUGAUUGGUUUUCAUUAUGCUGUUUGUGUUAUUUGUCAUAACAUUUUCAUUAUUUAAGUUUGUUCUUAAUGGUUUCCUUGAUGUUAACCAAAAAGGAGGAAGCCUUUGGUAGGAUCAUUCUAUUGGGGAAAAUUCCCUGGCUUCCUUCGGCUGACCUGAUGAAUGUAAAGGUCUCUUUUGGUCUUCUGAUCUUUAAACAAUGGAGAGGGAAAUAUUGCAUCUUUGGGAGCAGCAGACGUGAACAUUGCAACAGCACUGCUCCUGAGGCAAUUUGUACAAACCUUGAACAAUAUCUAGAGUGGCUAACAAUGACUCUGGGAGCUGGUAUAAUUGUCAAAACAUUUGAGCUAAACCCAACAGAUGUAAUGGCUAGAUCAGCAUUGGUCAUGUUGUGAACACUGCUCUUUGAAUAUUUCUCAGGUUAAUGCAGUUUGGUGACUAAAAUGUUAGCAAAUUUUUUUUCUCUAAAUUAAAGUUAGCACAGUGAGUUAAAAAUAAUUCUAGGUCAGAGUGGCUUAAUUGAAUAUACUAGUGUUGCUUUUUAGUAAACCUAGACAGCAUCUUUUGAUUUAUAAUCAAUUAGAAAUACGUCAUGCAGCAUUAGCAACCCUAUACAGCAUAUACAUAUAUACAGUUGUUGAUUGAUAUGCACCAUCAGCGAAGUGACCUGCACUGUGCUUGCUCAGGUAGCCAGAAAGCAAAUGGACAGUCUAAGUUCUUUUCCAUGUGUGUCCUGUUGCUUUUGAACUCAGGCUUUUGAUGUGGAGACAUCUGAACUUCCAUGACUAUAGUAGCACCUCUGCAUACCUGGGGAUUGUGUGAAACCCAAUGUAACCAAAAAGAGUGAUAUAAAGACAUCCCCUGUUUCAUGUUGGAAUUUUUUAUAUAGUCAUUUGCUUUCUCUUUCUGUCAUUAAAACCAGUUCUAUCAAAAAAGUCUCUUCUGUAUUUGAGAGUGGGAGGUGUGGAUAUUUGAGGGCACAGGCCUUUGCUCUUGAACUUAAAUUAACAUUAAAUUAUUUAGAAUAAUUCACAGAAUUUCAAGUUUUGUGAAUUAGUUGCAUUUAUUUUAGUAGUCCUGUGAAGUAGUUUACAAAAACUAAAUAUAAAUGAAAUUAAAUAUAACAUGUAGCAGUUAUGUCAAUGUUCUAUGUAGAACAACGUGAACAGUUUCUGAGAAAAUAAGAGCUAAGUUAUUUAUCCCCUUUUUUUGCCUGACUUAAAAUUAAAUGAAUGUAUUGAGGGAUUGUAAUUUGAUGUUUAUCUCUGUUGUGCCUACUACAAUGAGAUCAUGCUUUUUAACAGUGUAAGUUUUAAACAGCCAUUAAACACAGGCUCUUUAUUAUAAAAGGCCUGUAAAAACAUGUAUAUUGACACAGGCCUUUUGCUGCUCUAUCUGUCAGAAAUACUUAAGAAUUACCUCCACUGUGGUAAUUGUGUACAAAGCAGAAGAACAUGGUAAGCAGUUGAAGGUUACAAAACACUUUAAAAAUUAAUUUGGAGUGAUAUAAACUAGUAAUUAAAUGUUGCUAGAUAAUGGGAAGGCUCAACAACUUAAAAGCUUGGGAAAAAAAGAGCUUUAAAUUUCUUAAAAAUUUUCUUCUUAUAAUGGGAUAGGUGGUUUUUACAGUUGUAGUUUUCUCUGUACUUUUUAAAUGAGUAACACUUCAGUAGUCAAAGAUUUGCAGACGAUGUGAGAGAUGAUGCCUAGUGACAGGAAACAUGUCAUUCCACCCUGAAUGGACAGUAUUUUAAUGAAAAGCUUAGCAAAGUGACUAUGUAUCAAACAAUAUUUGCAGCAGGUGCAUAAAUUAUGAAAUACUGCCUUGAGGAGAAAAAGGUAUUGGUAGGUUACUUUUAAUAUUGACGCCUUGCCUGAAGGUCAAUAGCAAUGAGCACAUUUGGAGGAAGGUAUUUUUUCAUGUCAGCAUUGUUUAUUUUAACCACUUUAUUAUUAUUAUUCAUAUAUUCUGCUGUUCUCUAUUGCCUGAACCAGUUUUCCCUCCAUUUUUCCUUACUUACUCCAGUCUUGACAGUGCUCUGAUGUUCUAUGUAUGCAUUUGUUGAAAUGCUAGAGGUUAUUUUUUCUGAACUGAUCUCCAGUUCUGAGGGAAUUAGCACUAUUAAUACUUACUUAAGUAGUAUACUCUUGAUGUCCAUAAUAAUAUUUCAUAUUUUUUCCUUCCCCUGCAACAAGUCCCUGCAAAUAUUUUAUUAGGUGUGCUUAAGAAAGAUGAUGACACAGAGUGAUUACUGCACUUUCAAUUAAAAUAUUCUGUUUUCACUAGUAUCUCUGACAGCAAAAAAUAGCAGAAUGGUAAGCUUCCAGUAGAGGUCCAGCUUCCUUUAUAGCUUGCUUUCAGCAUAGGUCCAGCUGCGGUCCUUUUCAAGGUUAACUUUGCGUUAACAUUGCAGAAGUGUAUGGAUGGCUGUAUUAUGCUCUUUCAGUUUUUUUUUCCCUUAUGUUUUAUUUAUUUUUGAGAGAUUACAUAAAAGGAGGUUUUUCUUAACUACAGUAAAAUGUAAAUGUAAUCAAUUCUGAUUGAACAGCCUUUUAAGUUGACUUUCCUCUGAAUCCUCUAAGUCCAGUUCUCACAGCAUCCUAUUCUCCCUGCUGAACUGAAAAAUAUGCUGGCCUGUUACUGUGAAUAUUUCUUUUGGAGAGAAGAGAGUAGUGAAAGAACACAGAUCAUCUAGUCUUAAAUCUUCUUGCAGAAGCAAGAGCUAAGUCCCUCUGGAUUUCUCUUGGUGCAAGUGUAGGGAGGAGGCUGCUAACCUGAGAUACAGUAAUUUAUAAUGUGAUUCUCAAAGAGAGAUUCAACAUUUCUAGGAGGUAGAGGGGCAAAAUGCUUGAGGGACAAGGUCGUUUGAAUGAGGCAUGCAGCACAAGAAGUGCAAGGACAUUGGCUCAAGAACAGUAAAGGGAUCUCUAUUCUUUGGGUCACUUUCUACCAUUCUGAAGAAGCUGCUUUGUUUCUUAAAGACAAUUAUUAUUUUGAUGAGUGAGGUGGGAUGCUAGAGACUGUUUCACGCUCUAUAUGCCCUCAGAGAAUCACUUACAAGUCACAACCUGGUUGAGUGGCUGUGUGUGUUUCCCUGUGUCCAGGUGUGCACAUCUGGAUCUCAUCUCAGUUAUACUGUCUUCCAGUAUGCACACUAUGUGUUCUAUUACACAAAUAAAUAAUUCUGUCACCUUGAAAAAGUGGUGAGUUUGUUUCCUCACCUUAAUUAUCUCUGCAUGAGGAAAGUAUGAAGCCAGAACACCCCGAUUCCAUAAAUUUUAUAGCAUCUCAACAUGUCUGAGUUACUAGUUACUGUUUUAUCUCCCUUGCAAGACUGUAUACUGAACUUUCAGACUCACAGGCCCUGUAAUGUCUCUGUCCCUAACAGCAGCAUCAUUAUUCUUACCACAUUUAGGUGAAACUGUGUUUACUUGAAUACAAGCCAAGUUAGCUAAUUGUCACCAGCCAUCUCUGCAGUGCUGCCUGGAAAAAAAUUUUUAAUUCUUCUAGCUCCCUUGGCUGUGGACAGCAAUGGUAGUCAGAGGUCCUCAGGAACUUUUGACUUCCCUAAUCCCUUAAUUAAUCAUUUAUUUUCCUCCUUAUUCCAUACUCAUUAUUUUCCCUAGGCACUAUUGUUUUGGUUUGCAAUUAAUGUGAAGGCUGUAGUUUAGCUAAAAACAACUGUGAGAGAGGAAAGCAUGACUUCAAAAACUGCUUGUGUUGCCAAGUGCAGUAUUUAAUUUGGCUUUGCUUCCUUACUAAUUAUCUCUUCAAUGAGGGAUCUCAGAACUUUUUGUCAUGUUUCAUUACUCCUUGUUACCAUGGUUUACAGCCUGAAGUAGGUGACAGGAUGCUUGCCUUCUCUUUAGUAGGUUCAUCUUUUUAAAAGAUGCUAAAUUUGAUUUAAAAAAAAAUCAGUGUGUUCUGACUUGAAGCUGUACUUAUAAUUGGUAAUUUGGUAAAAACUAUUAAGCUAUCUAGCUGUUUACAUGAAAAGAGUCCGUCUUCUGGUUAAAGGUGAACCAAAUAUUUUUAAACAGUACUUUGAACAUUAUAAAUAGCUAUGCUACAACUUUGUGAAAGCAGAAGUGAGUAAUCUUCUCUGUAUCUACCCUCUCCCUCCUCUGCAGGCCUUGGAAAUCUGCAUAAGGACAAGAUUUUUGGUCUUCAGAAGACAGGAUACAAUACUAAAAAAAAAUAAUGGCAAUAGGAGCAACACACUUUCUGGACUGAAUGCUCUCUCUUCCAUAAAUGUUUGACUUUUCAGGCGUCUGGCAGAACAGCCUGUGAUGUCUUCCAGGUGAAGAAACUGAAUGAAAGAAGUCCAGCAUGGAGACUGACCACUGGAGGAAGGUCUUGACGUACCUGUGUCACUUCCAGCCAUUACUUCUAAUGUCUUUUUUAGGGACCACCACAGGAAGAUACAUCUGUCCUGACUUUUCCUUGUUGCCAUUUGGAUACACUAUUUAAUUUCCCUACAACUGGAGAGUUUUUCAAUAUUUCUUUGUAAGGGGACAAUGAUUUUGCUUGUACUUGUUUGAUUAAAUUUCUUUUCUAGGUAGUUUGAACUCAUAGCAGCUGCUUGUGUUUACUGAAAUUAGAACUGAGUAUUUUAAUUUCAACAGUGUUGCUUUGGUCAUUAAAACCUCCAAACAAUUCUUUAAAAGAAUUAACAUUUUUAUCAGUGAAACAUUUUGAUAUUUUAAUUUGAAAUGUUUUGUUUUGAAAUUACUUUGAAAAGUUGUAGUAUACUAAACUUAUUUCAUGUAUCAAAAGAGAAUUUUCAGUAUAGAAAAGUGCAUUUGUUUGCAAAUGUCUUGUUACCACAAGAUGUCUCUGUACUUGCACUCCCUAUAAAUGAUCAUGCUAUGUUGUUGUUACACCUGAAAGAGAGGAAAUCCAGUGGAACUUAAAAAAUAUUGUAAACUAGAAACAAUCUUCAAGUUUUAAUUUUAUCUUGAUCAGUUUUGGACUAUAAAUUAGCAGGAGGUUUAUAUAUUCAGUGUGUUACUCUCUGAAAUUCUUAUAUAACUAUCUGCGAACAUUAAAUGUAAUCUCUCCUUAGAUUUAGAAGGUUGUAAAUCAGUUUUAUUUUAGUCUGCACUUUUAAAACGGGUAUUUCUAGGUCUAGGCUGAAAUAGUAGUCUUUUGUUUGAAUAAACCGAAAUAAAGCAAUUAGAAUAAGUAAACAGGAAGAAAGAUUGAAGACAUUAGAAUCAAA
Molecule: non-coding RNA, 6053 nt
Organism: Taeniopygia guttata (zebra finch)
Lineage: Eukaryota; Metazoa; Chordata; Aves; Passeriformes; Estrildidae
Source: RefSeq, a predicted model, not a curated record